RNAcentral lists this ribosomal RNA (118 nucleotides) under uncultured bacterium. RNAcentral's name for it is "partial 16S ribosomal RNA". The record is from RNAcentral.
AGCAAGGUAUUAACUUACUAGCCUUCCUCCCCACUGAAAGUGCUUUACAACCCUCAGGCCUUCUUCACACACGCGGCAUUGCUGGAUCAGGGUUGCCCCCAUUGUCCAAUAUUCCCCA